This 69-nucleotide transfer RNA is filed under the name Rattus norvegicus (Norway rat). It matches the Rfam family "tRNA". From Rfam's summary of the family: Transfer RNA (tRNA) molecules are approximately 80 nucleotides in length. Lineage: Eukaryota; Metazoa; Chordata; Mammalia; Rodentia; Muridae. The record is from Rfam by way of RNAcentral.
GGGGAUUUGGCUCAGUGGUAGAGCGCUUGCCUAGCAAGCACAAGGCCCUGGGUUCGGCCCCCAGCUCCG